UGCAUGUAUACAUAGAAUUGCUGCAAUAGAGAUUUCUCAAACACUAGAGAUUUUUCAAAUCACGUGGCGGCCAUAUAUAAUGUAUGUAACCCGGCGGAUAAAUGUUUAAGGAAAAAAUGAAAGUGUUUUACAGUAAAUCUGCAGACCAAUCAACAACGAGAACUGAUGUUAUCGUAUUUGUAGCGUACCGACAAAUGAAAAUUACCCUUACAAAUCUUCUGGGGCGCCCGAUUAAGCCCUUAAACGGACCAAAGAAUCCCUCAGAAAAAGUGAUUGUCGGCCAUCUUCAAUUAGAUGACCACUUAGAAGAGAAACAUAUCAUAAAAUUCUGAAGAACACGUUUCCAUUUUUAUGUAUAAGAUAAACAAUAAAAUCAUAUUCACCUCUGCCUCACCCUUUUUAAUAUACAAAAGAAAACUCAAGGGAUUCGUAAAUAAAUUUAUAAUUUUCACCAGAAAAAAUAGGAAAAUAUGCGUUAACAAAGAUGAGCGACAGCUGGGGAACUCACAUGGGGGCGAAGUCCCAAACGUGGCAUUUUUAAACAGAUGUCUCUAUAGUUUUCAUUAUGUUUUUGAGCUAAGUAUCGUGCGUUUGAGCAAUUAUGUGCCAUUUGCUUGGUAAUCUUGUAGAAAUACCGUCGCCAGUGAAUCGCUUAUGGAGAACAGGAUAGCGUCAAGUAAUGUGACAGCAUGCCAACGUAUGAUUGUGUUUUAAGCCCACUGUCAAUGACGUGGAUUAGAGGUUUAGCAAAGUAAAAGGUUGGCGUGCACCGAUCGAUGUAAAACAUUGGGGACUAAGUUUUGUUUUGCAGGAAGAAAUGACAACAUUCAAUAGCAUUAUACGGAUGCUUUUGCUGUGAUACCUUUAGAAAAGUCUAACAUUCAAUGGUUCAGGAUAAAAAAAUGCAGUAUAGAUAUAUAGAAAAAUAUGUACUUUUAAUUUUUUCCGUGUAUUAACCAUGUAUUUUAUGUACCGUCGAAAAGUGAAUUUUGUGUUGUGUUCUUUUCCAAAUAUUCGCACAUUGAAAUUUCAGUGGUAAGCUGUUGUGAGAGGUUUUCAGUUAGACAUUCUUUUUUUCGUAAAUUGUGGUUAGUUGUUCUUAUAAUGCGGCACAGUGGCUAGCGAAAUUUGCGCAUGCAAGCAAGAGCACUUUUUUUGUUUUCCCAAAUUAUUAUAAAGAUAUAACUGACGAUCGCGUUUCUCAACGUCCACCUAUACAUUUCGUCCCGCGACGAUAUGAAUAUAAAUAUCACACCAAAAGCAUCGUCUUCUAAACUCUGAGGUAAUUCAUAAUUCAUCUAGCACCAAUGUUACCGACCAACUCUACCGGCAAUUUUCUCUUGUCAAAACAAAAAAACAGAUAAAUUCUGUCAAAAAAAAUAAUAAAAUUUUUA
Branchiostoma floridae (Florida lancelet) is the source of this 1394-nucleotide long non-coding RNA. RefSeq lists it as uncharacterized. The record is from RefSeq and is a predicted model, not a curated record. The transcript has 2 exons. NCBI's taxonomy places the organism in Eukaryota, Metazoa, Chordata, Leptocardii, Amphioxiformes, Branchiostomatidae.